Molecule: non-coding RNA, 4279 nt
Organism: Delphinapterus leucas (beluga whale)
Lineage: Eukaryota; Metazoa; Chordata; Mammalia; Artiodactyla; Monodontidae
Source: RefSeq, a predicted model, not a curated record
UUCAGCUCUCCCCAAAUCUGUCUCUAAAAGCCCAGUCAGCUCCCCUGAUAGCCUACCACCCAGCUGGAAACCCGGACGUGAUCCUCAGCUUCUCCCUCUUCCCUCCCCACCCAUACGCCACCACUGCCACCUCCUGCCUUCAACUCCCUGUGCUACUGGCAGCAUCAGCCUGAAACCUCAUACCUCCGGCUGACCCCGGCUCACACCACAUCCUGGUGCCUCUCAAGACUCUGCUGAAACACCACCUCUUCUGUGAAGCCUUUCUUGACCAAGCCCCAUCACCUGCCCACCACACCCACUUCUCAUCCUGCCCAUCUCUGCUCGCUCCUGAGCUCUCCACUACGCGUCUGCUUCCUCCCCUCGACGGCAGGGCCUGCGUCAUCGUCAUCUUUGUCCUCCAGGUUCUAACGGUGCCAGCACCGUGGAUAAAAGCUGAGUAAGCAUUUGUGGGAGGAAUAAGUAAAUAAAUUGAAAUCAAAAUGAUUUAAACAACACAAUCCAAAAAGAUGGUGCCACGCUCAAGGAAGAUGGACUCAUGACACAUUGUAAGAGUCUCAGGACUGUCUGGAGUUGAAACAGCCCCGUAGUGUGUGGUAGAGUCUAGAGUCUGGAGAUGGAUUUUCGAGUCGGCUACGUCAUAGCUUUAAGACCUUGGCUGAGAGGUCUAAUCCCUUUGAGCCUCAGUUUAUUCAUCUAUAAAAAAUGAAGGGGUGGCAGCAAGGGCUGGGGUGAGAAUGCCGUGAGAUGACGCUCGCCAAGGGUCCCUCGGAGGGGGCGCCGUGGGCAGGAGGCGGACGUCAGCGCCCUCUCCGUGCAUCAGAACUGAGCACAGACCCUGAGGUCUGUGGGGAAACAGCGGGGGCAGAGCAUAGCUCCUGCCUCAAUGCUCAAGGGGCGGAUGCUCAACUUGAAGAGGCGCAAUACCCUCGCUGGAAAGGCUGAGAAACCAUACUGCGAGCCGAUACUACCAGGUGUGUCACGAAGCCGACAACAACAGCCCCUAGCCAGGUUGGCGUGGGCUGCGCGAUGCUCGGAGUGGGGAGGGACGUCUCGGGGGGUUGAGGGUGAGGAGAGACACCGGUGGAAGAGGAGGGUCUCAGAGACCCAACCUGCUGGGAUGGAAGCCUCAGGGCGCCCUGGAGUCCAGGUCAGAGGUUCGUCACCUGGGCCUCCCAGGACGCUGGUGUGGACCACUGGUGUGACCGAGGAAGGUGCACUUAGCAUUCCUGGGCCUCCUGGUCGCACUGCUUGUCUUGCCUGAGGGUAUUCCCCAAGUAAGACCAGAAGCCCUUUUGGCCCUGAAUUCCCCAGUUAAUAUUCAUGAAGUUUGUUGAGGGAAAAAAAAAAAAAGGCUGAGGGGGCAGAAGACGGAGGCGGGGGCCACACAAAGAGGUGAAGGAAGCAAGAGUUAACACCAAGCCCCCUCCGGCGGCAGAGAGGGAUUGUCCCUUGUGGGGAAAAUUGCAAAUGACUUUUCCCAUUCACCUCAGCCCAGUGUUUUCAAUUUAUAGAACAUGACUAGGCUUCGGGACUUAAGACCAGAUAUGUCUCUGUUGGGGGAGGACAUCGUAGGAUGUUCAGCAGAGCCCCUGGCCUCCACCCACUAGAUUCCAGUGGAAACCCCUGCCUAGUUGGGACAACAGAAACGUCUCCAGGCCUUGCCACUGUGCCCUGUCUCGCGAAGCCCUGCCUUAGAGGAUUGGGAGGUUGUACCCAAAUGCCCGGAGAUGUGCUUCCCUCUGCAUCUCGCCCUGACCUGAGUGCUACAAGGAUGCUACACGGCCACCUACCCGUCCACCUGCCACUCAGAAACAGAAACAAGGCCAGGGAAUCCCUUUCCAGGUCCUGAUUUGGGGGGCCCCCUCUCCUGUUCUGCUCAGGACCUGCAAAUCAGUGGACUUCAUAACCCCAAGGGGCUCUGCACCCAGAGUGCUGGUCUCUCGAUUUCUUGGGUGACCAGAGAUGCGGGUCAAAACGUUUGCCCAGAGGCAGCUCCCUCCGGGCUGGAGGAGUAAACCAGUGGAGACUCUGCCCUCCCUCAUCUCCUCCAUUUUCUCUCCUCUGAGCUGGCUGCUCUGUGAGAAAAAGACACAGCAGCGAUUCAUGUGAGCCCAAGCCCGGGGCCAUCCUCCAGCACAUGUAGACAGCGAGUCCGGGAGCUAAAUAUGAAAGCCUUCACGCAAAUAAACAAUUACGUUAAUUGUGGGUCGGACAGUUGUUUUUCCUGAGGAACUAAGUACUCAAUUGGGGGUUGGCGUCCUCUAUCUGGAGAAAACAGAGUGCAAGAAGAUGAAGGAAAAGCGGCCAAGUCCCUUUAUUUUUUAAGUAAGGAAACUGAGUCCCAGAGAAGUGAAAUGUCAGCCAGCAUGGAAGCCAGGACCAGACACCUCAUGAUGUGGAGGGUGGCCCCAGGGAAGGGAGGUCCUCAGAGUGUGUGUCACCAGUACGUCUGUACCUCGAGAGAUGACUUAUCUCAUGGAAACCCUGUGCCUGGGGUUGGUCUAUAAAAUAACGCAAGUGACAACUGAACAGAGUCCCCCAGAGGGGCACCUAUGCCUGGCUCUGUGACCCAGUUUUCAGUGAAAAUUAGUAUUAGCUGCUUUUGGCUUUAACCUUGAACUCCAGCUGGCUUUAUCUUCUCUCACUUAUUAUAAUCGUAAGGCCAUGCACGGUGUAAAGGUCACACCUGGGCUUAUACGUCAUAUGUCAUCAAAAUACCGUGAAGAGAACACUAUGUGGUCUCUGUCAGAAGAUCGAAAAAAAAGAAGAGCAAGCGGCAGGUCCGGCUUCUAACUCAGGGCGGCUCGGCCCUCCUCGAAUACCGAGACGGGCCGGGGCCCACCGUGGCCAUCGGAGGUCGUCCAGGCCAAGUACGCACUGUUUAUUGACAGAGAGACAAAGAGGCACCUGCCCGGUUUCAGGGUGACCAGGGAGUUUCCAGUCUGGAUAUGAGAAAACUUUUACACUCUACCAAACAUUCUUUUUUCUUUUUUUCAAAAGCCAAAAUUAGAAAGAAAACAAACAUAUUCAGGGCUCAACGUAGCAGGAAAAAGAAACUCAGAAGUCAAGACAUUUCAUAAGAAAAGCUCCGACUCAGUCUAAACUCACCUGGCCUAGAGUCUAAGGUUCCUGUGAUUGGGGUGGGGACAGGCUGUGGCCCCCCGAGGCCUGGGAAGCUAGUUGUCCCCAGACAAGUGCCCAGUUAGGAGGUCCCCCCUGGUUCCCACGCUGCAGGAGAGGAUGGGAAGGAUGCUGGGGGAGGGAGACAGGCAGAGGGUUCCUGGAGGAGUAUUCUUCUUGUCUAACCUAGCGGUGCCUUGAGGUGCGAUUAAUAAGAGCAACUCAGCAGCGAAGGCACUGAGCCACUGCCCCCCUCUGCCAACGCAGAGAUAACCCAAUACUGUUUACCUGGCCGCCCAGUGACCCGGCCCUAGCAGGCAUCUCGCUAAUUAGCAUAGUCCCUCUAGCCCGGCCUUGGGACUGGCUGUCACACGCUCUCCCACAUUCCAGGCCUCAGUCUGUGCGGGGCCCUCCGAGCUCCCCAGGCAGCCUGCCAGCUGGUCCCCAAAGCUGCGGUGAGAUCUGCCUGCCUCCGGGGGCCCUUCCACCUGCGGGCACGUCGGACAUAAGCCUGUCCCAGCCCCAGGAUCCAAGGCCUACAUCCAUCUUCAAGAAGGCAUCCUCUGAAGCAGUGUGGGAAAAAAGCUUUUUCGCUUGAGAAUCACCUUGUAUUGUACUGACUUGAAAACAGGUCGGUCAGCUUCCAUUCAGCCGGGGUGUAACUGGAACUGAAGGGUAUCCAUUAACACACAAAAUGCCAGAAGUAUUUUAUACCACUCAGGCACUGGUGAGUCAUUAGUGCACGUGAGAUUCAUCAGUUUAUAAAAGAGAUUGGAGAAAUUAAUUAUUUAAAAGUAUGUGACUAUCGAUUUAUACUCACGUUAUCUACUUAAAAGAAAGGAUCUCAGUCGGGCUCUUCUUCUCCCAAGCAGUGAAAAUCAAGUUAUCCUCUCUACCGCCUUCUCCAGCCUCUGCUCUAAAGAGAGCUGGGAUCAGGCUUAUUAAGCAAAGCAGAGGUAGGGCCGAGCAAGUGAUUUUCACCAAAAUUGCAAAAACACAACUGAAAGAGAACUAUUCUUAAGAAAGACUCAUGUACCAUAAAAGGGGAAUUUCCAGAAGCCUCUGAUAUUAGCAAUUUGCUCGUCCAUUCCCUUCCUCUGUAGUUUCAAGAUGAGAUGAUGACAGAAAGACUGACUUGUCAGAAAAAAAAAAAAAAAAA